This 189-nucleotide ribosomal RNA is filed under the name uncultured Ammoniphilus sp. RNAcentral's name for it is "partial 16S ribosomal RNA". It matches the Rfam family "Bacterial small subunit ribosomal RNA", at positions 338 to 524 of the family's 1533-position model. Lineage: Bacteria; Bacillati; Bacillota; Bacilli; Caryophanales; Paenibacillaceae. The record is from RNAcentral.
CCUACGGGAGGCAGCAGUAGGGAAUCUUCCACAAUGGGCGAAAGCCUGAUGGAGCAACGCCGCGUGAGUGAUGAAGGUUUUCGGAUCGUAAAACUCUGUUGUUAGGGAAGAACACCCGGGAGAGGAUCCCGGUUUGACGGUACCUAACGAGAAAGCCCCGGCUAACUACGUGCCAGCAGCCGCGGUAAU